CAGAAAUAGCAAAUGAGCUCUCGAGGUUUUUUUGUUUGUUUUUUUUUUUUACUCUGGAAGUGACCCCCUCAUGCUGCGUGCAAGACCUUUUGCCCACACAAACCCCAUCAUACACAUUUUUGUUUUUACCACUCAUUUUCUUCAAUUUCCAUCCUAUUUUUAGCCAAACCCUUCAUGUUUCCCUCAUUGAAAUACAUUAGUUGCUAUGGAAACGGUGAUGUCACAGGGAUGGACAAAGCUUUAUGACAUCUACAAUUGCAGAGUACAGUCAACGGAUUCAGAAUUUUGAAAUGAAUGCUAUGCCUUGUGAAAUACCUAAGGUACACUAAUGAUUGUAAUAAUCCCAUGCAGGGCAGUGGGAAGUGUCAGGAAUCAGUCACAAACUGCCUUCCCCAGAAGUUCUGGGCUAAUCCCAUGGACUUGUCCACCUCCCUGCGUGAGCUGUGUGGCUUUUUAGUAGUUUAAAACAUAGUGACAAGGAAAGAAGAAUAAUGAUAAUUCCAAACUGAGGAAAACACUGCAAAUGUGUCGACUAAAGUCACUUGACAGAAAAAGUCCAUUCAUUUAAAUGAAUAUAAGGGAAACAUUGGUUCAGAAAACAGAAAAUGGAUUCUUUUCUAAGGAAGAGAAACGUCUAGGAUACAAGACCUCAAUUCUCACAGCAUCCUUACUCUCUUCUUCAGGGAUGGACCUUACCUCAUAAUAACUUCUUUACUUCACAGGAUGUUUGCCAUCAUUUUGCACAGAGGAGAAAGUGAGAGAGGAGAGGUGAAUUUCCAAAAGCUGAACUCAUAAAUGGCUGAUGUAGAACUGAGAAUAGAGUACUCUAAUCAACUAUCCCCAGAACUCAGUAGACAAAGAGAAAGCAAUGUAUCUGUAGGCAGUAUAAUCAACUGAGGGACAAAUAAAAAAUAACAAAGAAA
Molecule: long non-coding RNA, 923 nt
Organism: Monodelphis domestica (gray short-tailed opossum)
Lineage: Eukaryota; Metazoa; Chordata; Mammalia; Didelphimorphia; Didelphidae
Source: RefSeq, a predicted model, not a curated record